GCACCUCCAAAUCUUGAAAUUUCUUCCUGUUAUCUCCUGUUAUUCCAAACUUAUUGACAUGCCUUUUUAAGCUUUUUGUUCUCCUGUUUCUAGGAAAAGAAUAAUAAACUUUCUUUUUUUGUAAACUACUAACUGCAGGAAAGAAGGUGUUUGGGUGGGCCACCUGCUUUCAGGAUAUUCUUUGCCAAUGGAAGAUCCAAGUCAGUCAAAAGAAAACGGAAAUACUGAUUGUAUUGGUGGGACAUGGAGACAAUCGAUAAAAGUUGCAAUUGAGGCUACAAAAUCAGCUUUCCCUGGUGGGGAUGUUUUGGC
RNAcentral lists this long non-coding RNA (312 nucleotides) under Gossypium raimondii (Peruvian cotton). RNAcentral describes it as "long non-coding RNA (GRAI_LNC003904)". Lineage: Eukaryota; Viridiplantae; Streptophyta; Magnoliopsida; Malvales; Malvaceae. The record is from RNAcentral.